RNAcentral lists this non-coding RNA (21 nucleotides) under Caenorhabditis elegans. The record is from RNAcentral. Lineage: Eukaryota; Metazoa; Nematoda; Chromadorea; Rhabditida; Rhabditidae.
UUAAUGAACUUUUUAAUCGGC